This 497-nucleotide ribosomal RNA is filed under the name uncultured bacterium. RNAcentral's name for it is "partial 16S ribosomal RNA". It matches the Rfam family "Bacterial small subunit ribosomal RNA", at positions 28 to 507 of the family's 1533-position model. The record is from RNAcentral.
GAUGAACGCUGGCGGCGUGCCUAAUACAUGCAAGUCGAGCGAACGGACGAGAAGCUUGCUUCUCUGAUGUUAGCGGCGGACGGGUGAGUAACACGUGGAUAACCUACCUAUAAGACUGGGAUAGCUUCGGGAAACCGGAGCUAAUACCGGAUAAUAUUUUGAACCGCAUGGUUCAAAAGUGAAAGACGGUCUUGCUGUCACUUAUAGAUGGAUCCGCGCUGCAUUAGCUGGUUGGUAAGGUAACGGCUUACCAAGGCAACGAUGCAUAGACGACCUGAGAGGGUGGUAGGCCACACUGGAGCUGAGACACGGACCAGACUCCUAAGGGAGGGAGCAGUAGGGAAUCUGCGGCAAUGGGCGGAAGCCUGACGGAGCAACGCCGCGUGAGUGAUGAAGGUCUUCGGAUCGUAAAACUCUGUUAUUAGGGAAGAACAUAUGUGUAAGUAACUGUGCACAACUUGACGGUACCUACUCAGAAAGCCACGGCUAACUACGUG